Molecule: non-coding RNA, 83 nt
Organism: Paramarasmius palmivorus
Lineage: Eukaryota; Fungi; Basidiomycota; Agaricomycetes; Agaricales; Marasmiaceae
Source: the annotation of a GenBank genome assembly
GCAUCGGUGGUCUAACGGUUAUGAUGCGAUCUUCCCAUAAAGACGUUGAGAUCGCGAACCGGGUUCGACUCCCGGUCGAUGCA